AGUGAACGCUGGCGGUAGGCCUAACACAUGCAAGUCGAACGGCAGCACAGUAAGAGCUUGCUCUUACGGGUGGCGAGUGGCGGACGGGUGAGGAAUACAUCGGAAUCUACUUUUUCGUGGGGGAUAACGUAGGGAAACUUACGCUAAUACCGCAUACGACCUACGGGUGAAAGCAGGGGAUCUUCGGACCUUGCGCGAUCGAAUGAGCCGAUGUCGGAUUAGCUAGUUGGCGGGGUAAAGGCCCACCAAGGCGACGAUCCGUAGCUGGUCUGAGAGGAUGAUCAGCCACACUGGAACUGAGACACGGUCCAGACUCCUACGGGAGGCAGCAGUGGGGAAUAUUGGACAAUGGGCGCAAGCCUGAUCCAGCCAUACCGCGUGGGUGAAGAAGGCCUUCGGGUUUUAAAGCCCUUUUGUUGGGAAAGAAAAGCAGCAGGUUAAUACCCCGCUGUUCUGACGGUACCCAAAGAAUAAGCACCGGCUAACUUCGUG
Molecule: ribosomal RNA, 492 nt
Filed under: uncultured bacterium
Lineage: Bacteria
Description: partial 16S ribosomal RNA
Rfam family: Bacterial small subunit ribosomal RNA
Source: RNAcentral